CGGAGGGUCCAAGUCGUUAUCCGGAAUCAUUGGGUUUAAAGGGUCCGUAGGCGGUUUAAUAAGUCAGUGGUGAAAGCCUAUCGCUUAACGAUAGAACGGCCAUUGAUACUGUUAGACUUGAAUUAGUGGAAGUAACUAGAAUAUGUAGUGUAGCGGUGAAAUGCUUAGAUAUUACAUGGAAUACCAAUUGCGAAGGCAGGUUACUAUCACUAUAUUGACGCUGAUGGACGAAAGCGUGGGGAGCGAACAGGAUUAGAUACCCUGGUAGUCCACGCCGUAAACGAUGGAUACUAGCUGUUCGGAGCAAUCUGAGUGGCUAAGCGAAAGUGAUAAGUAUCCCACCUGGGGAGUACGUUCGCAAGAAUG
RNAcentral lists this ribosomal RNA (366 nucleotides) under uncultured organism. Its description in RNAcentral is "bacterial SSU rRNA". It matches the Rfam family "Bacterial small subunit ribosomal RNA", at positions 526 to 896 of the family's 1533-position model. The record is from RNAcentral.